CAAAUCUUAAACAUAGAUUAUCUCCCUUUGCUGUUAAUUAACAUGAACUAUCUCCCUUUGCUUCUUUUUUAGCUCACCUGGCCCAAAGGGCCAAGUGAGCUUUUCUCAUCACUUGGCGUCCGGCGUCCGGCGUCCGGCGUCCGUCGUCCGUCGUCGUCGUCGUCCGUCGUUAGCUUUUACAAAAAUCUUCUCCUCUGAAACUACUGGGCCAAUUUUUACCAAACUUGGCCACAAUCAUUAUUAGGGUAUCUAGUUUAAAAAUUGUGUCCGGUGACCCGGCCAACCAACCAAGAUGGCCACCAUGGCUAAAAAUAGAACAUAGGGGUAAAAUGCAGUUUUUGGCUUAUAACUCAAAAACCAAAGCAUUUAGAGCAAAUCUGACAUGGGGUAAAAUGGUUAAUCAGGUCUAGAUCUAUCUGCCCUGAAAUUUUGAGAUGAAUCGGACAACCCGUUGAUAGGUUGCUGCCCCUGAAUUGGUAAUUUUAAGGAAAUUUUGCUGUUUUUGGUUAUUAUCUUGAAUAUUAUCAUAGAUAGAGAUAAACUGUAAACAACAAAAAUGUUCAGUAAAGUAAGAUCUACAAAUAAGUCA
This 589-nucleotide long non-coding RNA is filed under the name Mytilus galloprovincialis (Mediterranean mussel). The record is from RNAcentral. Lineage: Eukaryota; Metazoa; Mollusca; Bivalvia; Mytilida; Mytilidae.